RNAcentral lists this ribosomal RNA (453 nucleotides) under uncultured Porphyromonadaceae bacterium. RNAcentral's name for it is "bacterial SSU rRNA". It matches the Rfam family "Bacterial small subunit ribosomal RNA", at positions 341 to 792 of the family's 1533-position model. Lineage: Bacteria; Pseudomonadati; Bacteroidota; Bacteroidia; Bacteroidales; Porphyromonadaceae. The record is from RNAcentral.
ACGGGAGGCAGCAGUGAGGAAUAUUGGUCAAUGGGCGAGAGCCUGAACCAGCCAAGUCGCGUGAGGGAAGACGGCCCUAUGGGUUGUAAACCUCUUUUAUGCGGGAAUAAAGUGCCCCAUGCGUGGGGUUUUGCAUGUACCGCAGGAAUAAGGAUCGGCUAACUCCGUGCCAGCAGCCGCGGUAAUACGGAGGAUCCGAGUGUUAUCCGGAUUUAUUGGGUUUAAAGGGUGCGUAGGCGGGGGAUCAAGUCAGUGGGGAAAUGGUGCGGCUAAACCGUAGCAUGCCGUUGAAACUGGUUUUCUUGAGUGCGAAUGAGGUGGGCGGAAUGUGUCAUGUAGCGGUGAAAUGCAUAGAUAUGACACAGAACACCGAUUGCGAAGGCAGCCCACUGGGACGCGACUGACGCUGAGGCACGAAAGUGCGGGGAUCGAACAGGAUUAGAUACCCUGGUA